RNAcentral lists this ribosomal RNA (440 nucleotides) under uncultured bacterium. Its description in RNAcentral is "partial 16S ribosomal RNA". It matches the Rfam family "Bacterial small subunit ribosomal RNA", at positions 338 to 795 of the family's 1533-position model. The record is from RNAcentral.
CCUACGGGAGGCAGCAGUGGGGAAUAUUGGACAAUGGGGGAAACCCUUAUCCAGCGACGCCGCGUGAGGGAAGAAGGUUUUCGGAUUGUAAACCUCUGUCAGUGGGGACGAUAAUGACGGUACCCACGUAGGAAGCCACGGCUAACUACGUGCCAGCAGCCGCGGUAAUAUGGAGGUGGCCAGCGUUGUCCGGAAUUACUGGGGGUAAAGGGAGCGUAGGCGGGAUGACAAGUCAGAAGUGAAAAUGUUGGGCUCAACUCAUAACCUGCUUUUGAGACUGAUAUGCUAGAGUGUAGUAGAGGCAAGCGGAAUGCCUAGUGUAGCGGUGAAAUGCGUAGAUAUUAGGAGGAACACCAGUGGCGAAGGCGGCUUGCUGAGCUUUUACUGACGCUGAGGCUCGAAAGCGUGGGGAGCAAACAGGAUUAGAUACCCUUGUAGUC